GAGGAAUAUUGGUCAAUGGACGAGAGUCUGAACCAGCCAAGUAGCGUGAAGGAUGACUGCCCUAUGGGUUGUAAACUUCUUUUAUACGGGAAUAAAGUGAGGCACGUGUGCCUUUUUGUAUGUACCGUAUGAAUAAGGAUCGGCUAACUCCGUGCCAGCAGCCGCGGUAAUACGGAGGAUCCGAGCGUUAUCCGGAUUUAUUGGGUUUAAAGGGAGCGUAGGCGGACGCUUAAGUCAGUUGUGAAAGUUUGCGGCUCAACCGUAAAAUUGCAGUUGAUACUGGGUGUCUUGAGUACAGUAGAGGCAGGCGGAAUUCGUGGUGUAGCGGUGAAAUGCUUAGAUAUCACGAAGAACUCCGAUUGCGAAGGCAGCUUGCUGGACUGUAACUGACGCUGAUGCUCGAAAGUGUGGGUAUCAAACAGGAUUAGAUACCCUGGUAGUCCACACAGUAAACGAUGAAUACUCGCUGUUUGCGAUAUACAGUAAGCGGCCAAGCGAAAGCGUUAAGUAUUCCACCUGGGGAGUACGCCGGCAACGGUGAAACUCAAAGGAAUUGACGGGGGCCCGCACAAGCGGAGGAACAUGUGGUUUAAUUCGAUGAUACGCGAGGAACCUUACCCGGGCUUGAAUUGCAACUGAAUGAUGUGGAGACAUGUCAGCCGCAAGGCAGUUGUGAAGGUGCUGCAUGGUUGUCGUCAGCUCGUGCCGUGAGGUGUCGGCUUAAGUGCCAUAACGAGCGCAACCCUUAUCGAUAGUUACCAUCAGGUUAUGCUGGGGACUCUGUCGAGACUGCCGUCGUAAGAUGUGAGGAAGGUGGGGAUGACGUCAAAUCAGCACGGCCCUUACGUCCGGGGCUACACACGUGUUACAAUGGGGGUACAGAAGGCAGCUACACGGCGACGUGAUGCUAAUCCCGAAAGCCUCUCUCAGUUCGGAUUGGAGUCUGCAACCCGACUCCAUGAAGCUGGAUUCGCUAGUAAUCGCGCAUCAGCCACGGCGCGGUGAAUACGUUCCCG
This 1016-nucleotide ribosomal RNA is filed under the name uncultured organism. RNAcentral describes it as "bacterial SSU rRNA". It matches the Rfam family "Bacterial small subunit ribosomal RNA", at positions 356 to 1376 of the family's 1533-position model. The record is from RNAcentral.